AAAUAAGAAGUAAAACCUUACAUAUUAAUUUCGACUUAAUAAUAGAUUAUUUAAUCCUUAUUUU
Molecule: transfer RNA, 64 nt
Filed under: Uroleucon sonchi
Lineage: Eukaryota; Metazoa; Arthropoda; Insecta; Hemiptera; Aphididae
Description: tRNA-Arg
Source: RNAcentral